CUACGGGGUGCACCAGUGGGGAAUAUUGCACAAUGGACGGAAGCCUGAUGCAGCCAUACCGCGUGUGUGAAGAAGGCCUUAGGGUUGUAAAGCACUUUCAGUCGUGAGGAAAGGGUGAUGGUUAAUACCCAUUAUCUGUGACGUUAGCGACAGAAGAAGCACCGGCUAAUUCCGUGCCAGCAGCCGCGGUAAUACGGAAGGUGCGAGCGUUAAUCGGAAUUACUGGGCGUAAAGCGCGCGUAGGUGGUUCAGUCAGUCAGAUGUGAAAGCCCCGGGCUCAACCUGGGAACUGCACCUGAUACUGCUGGACUUGAGUACGGUAGAGGGUAGUGGAAUUUCCUGUGUAGCGGUGAAAUGCGUAGAUAUAGGAAGGAACACCAGUGGCGAAGGCGACUACCUGGACCGAUACUGACACUGAGGUGCGAAAGCGUGGGGAGCAAACAGGAUUAGAUACCCGCGUAGUC
RNAcentral lists this ribosomal RNA (464 nucleotides) under uncultured bacterium. RNAcentral's name for it is "partial 16S ribosomal RNA". It matches the Rfam family "Bacterial small subunit ribosomal RNA", at positions 339 to 795 of the family's 1533-position model. The record is from RNAcentral.